RNAcentral lists this long non-coding RNA (4097 nucleotides) under Capsicum annuum. RNAcentral describes it as "long non-coding RNA (CANN_LNC008516)". Lineage: Eukaryota; Viridiplantae; Streptophyta; Magnoliopsida; Solanales; Solanaceae. The record is from RNAcentral.
GCCCUUUUUCAUCCAAUUUAUAACAAUUUUAUCAUAAUUUUACAUAAAUUGCUACAAUUCUAGCCACAUUUAAUUCAAUUUAAAAGAUCCCAAUUCUUUUUUUUUCUUUGUAAUCUCAAUCAUGGAUCAAGAUCGGCCUACUCUUUCCAUUUAUACCAAGCUAAACCCUAAUUCCUCCAUUUUCAAUAAAACAGUCGACUCCCCUCUCUCUCUACCUUUUCUCUCUCUCUAAACUCAACUUCCACCAACCAUCGUUGUUCACCACUCUGGCCAACAAAAACACCAACGUUGUCGUCGUCCUCACUCCGGUGUGGACCUUCUUCGCCUAUCUCCCCCCACCACCGGCAAGGCAGCCACCCUAGCCACCAUCUCUCUCCCAACCAUCGCCAACAGCCCUCUCCGUUGCCACCAUCAACCUUCGCAUGCCGCCCCUCCUACUUCAAAACCCUCCAGCGUUUCCACUUUUCCGACCAAACGACUCCACCAGCAAACACCAGCAUCGGCUGCCUCCUUCAGCCACUCCAGCCGGCUACGCCGGCGAAUCUGCAACCGUUGACCCAUUUUUUCGGAAAGUGAUGGGUUCUCAAAAACCCAUCUACAGGUUUUACCAAAUAAAAUGAAAAAAGAGCUUAAUAAAGUGUGAUAGAUUUCUUGGGUCCGAUUCUCUGUCAUUUGUGUUGGUUUAUGUAUUAAGACUAUAACAUGUCAAAAGCCUUAAUUUGUAAUUGUACCGGUGACUUAUUAUUUGCUCGAGUUCGUUUAUUAUAUCAUAAUCGUUAUCCCUUCUUUUGUUUUUAGUGGGUUUGGGCUGUUUGAUUAUACUAUGAGUAUUAACUCAAUUCUAAAUCGAUUAAAAUUGUGGUAUUCGGCUAUUGUUGAUAAAAUAUGCUUCAAUAUGUGAAUUGAUUUGAUAUAGUAUAAUGAUUUUUCUCGAAUUUUAAUUUUUGAACUUUGACAAUUCCCUUUCUUCUCAUAUUUAUGGUAAACUACCUAUGUUAGGUCGAUUUGCUGAUUUUUUCUUUAUUUGGGGAUAAACAAAUUCUUCUUUUACUUUUUUAUUUGAGAUUAUUUGAUAAUAUUUUGUGUAAUUGAUUCACUAUGUUAAAUUUCUUUACCUGUUUGUAAAUAACAAACUGAUGAUAUAAUAUUUUAAUUGAUUUACUAUGGUAAUUAUGGAAAAAUUAAUCCAUAUAAUUAUGAGAUGGUCAUAAUUUUGGUAACCUUGUUUCCUGAUUCCCUUACCUUUUGAUAAGGGAUCUACACGAUUUGUUACAUAACUUUGAUACUUAUCUAUUUACGACAAUUGUGACAUGCUAAUUGAUUCUUUUUCCUUAAUCUUAUUGAAUUGAAAACUGUGAUUUGUGAUAAUUCAUUUAAUACCUUACUAGUUGUGUCUAAAGAUUUGAUUAAAUUUAUUUCUUUCCUUUUUAUGCUUAAGGAUGAUUUAUUCCAUACUACAUAAACAACCCCUCUUUUCAAUUAGAAAAAAACAUUCACAUUCCACCUUCUCUGCUUUUUACUCUCUAAUACAAAGGCAAAAAAAAGUUUUUAAUUCUUCAAGUCCUAUGAUACUACUCUGACAGAAGUAUUUGGCUUAUUUACACUGUUGCAAUUACUUUGUUUACAUCUUCCUUAUUAUUUCUUUGUCGCUAACUAGUAAGCCCCUACUUGAUGCAAUUAUAUUCUUAUGCAAUUAUAUUCUUUCUUUCAGUGAUAACUGUUUGUGUUGUGAAUAUCAUUGAAAAACAUAUCUAUGGGGUCAGUGUGAAAUAAUUGUUCAAUGCUUUCUUGUUAUACUUGCCUUACUGUUUUGGUGUACCAAACAGUGUAUGAGUUCUUCUUGUGCUUGCUUUGCUAUUUUUGUUGUAUUCAACAGGUGCCACUAACACGCAAUUCUAAAGAUUCGCCCUGGGAUAGGAAGGGAUGAUACCCACUUUUAACUUAGUCUAUUUCAUUAUUUUAUUAAUGUUGGUUGUAACACUGUAUAAACUUUAUUCUGUUGUAGUAAUAAACUUUGGGGACUACUCGGGGGCAGGGACUUACGUGCUCUAUGAAUAGUAUUGAUAAGCAUCAUUUAGGUUUUUUGUGUGUUACGUGCUACGUGGUUCAUUUAGGCGCACAAUCCUAAGAUUUAUUAACACAUGAAUUUUUUAGACACUUAAUCUACGGUUUAUUAAUUGAUGCACUUAGAAUUCUUAAUUUCAGGAUUUAACUAAAACCGACAUAUUAAAUAAAUUGACAUUAAGCAUAUUAAUAUAUUUUUUACCUUGUCAGCAUAUUAAUAUAUUUUUAGCAUGUCAGCACAUUAAAGUGACUUUAAUCAUGAUCUUUAGCAUGUUAGCAUAUUAAAUUAGAUUUAAGCAUGUUAAUGUAUUUUUAGCAUGUUAAGUAUAUUAAAUUAAAUUCAAGCGGGUUAAUAUAUUUUUCAGGAUGUUAAACAAUAGGUUUAAACAAUUUUCAGCAUAUUAAACAUUAGGCUUAAGCGAUUUUAAUAAGUCAUUGUAUGUUUUAGCAUGUUAAUACGAAUUUAAGCAUGUUAGUAUUUUGUAGCAUGUCAAAAAUUAAAUUCCUGCAUAUUAAUAUAUUUUUAGCAUGUUGAACGUUAGAAUUAAGCAUGUCAUUGUAUGUUUUAGCAUAUUAAUGCAAAAUCAAGCAUGUCAAUAUUUUUAGGGCAUGUUAACAUAAAAUUCCUGCGCAUUAACAUAUUUUUCAGCAUGUUAAAAUGGUAGAGUUAGGCAUUUUUCAGCAUGUUAAUUACCUUCCACAUGUUAAAAUUCCUUUUACCAUGUCAAUAUUAAAAUUUUAGUCUGUUAAACAUAAAAAUUUCUGCAUGUUAAUUCAUUUUCCAGUAUUUAAAUGCAUCUUUAGCAUGUUAAUGGACUUUAGAGGAUUUAAAAUGAAUGUCGGUAAUAAUUUUCAACAUGUAACUUUAACUUCCCGCACUGUCAUUAGCUUACAACACGUCUUGCACAAUGAAAUUCAUGAGCACAACUCUUUGGCGUAUUUACUUCAAUUUGACACGUUCUUUUAAAAAAUUGGCAACACAUUGUUUAGACAUGAAUAACAAUUAUAUUUUGUCAUAUUAAAUAAUUGUUGAACACUUAGAUAUUAUUCCUAUGGGUUAAUGACAUCAAAAUAAGUAAUUAUUUUGUCUUUGCAUGUUAAUCAAUUUAACCAAUUCAUAAUUAACCAAGAGGCAUCUUUGAGACCAUUAUGUGCUAUGUGACGUCCAAUGUGUUACGCGCUUUGAGUCUUAGGAAAACAUAGCUUUAUUUGUCUAGAUCACAAAUCUAAAUUAGCAAAGCUCAGUACUUCUUGGGUGAUAAGUGGGAGGAUAGGUAUUCUAAAGACGUUAGUUUUAUCCUUUUCUUAGAACGUCUUUAGAUUUGAAACUAGUAUGCCCCUACUCGAUGCAAUUACAUUCUUUGUUGCUUGUAUUGCUUUAUUUACAUCUUCCUUAUUAUUUCUUUGUCGCUAACUAGUAUGCCCCUACUCGAUGCAAUUAUAUUCUUUCUUUUGGUGAUAACUGUUUGUGUUGUAAAUAUCUUGAAAAACAAGUCUAUAGGGGUUAGUGUGAAAUAAUUGUUCUUUGCUUGCUUGCUAUACCUUGCCUUACUGUUUUGGUGUACCAGACCAUGUGUGGGUUCGUCUUGUGCUUGAUUUGCUAUUUUUGUUGUAUUCAACAGGUGCCACUAACAUGCAAUUCUAGAGAGUCAUCCGGGGAUGGGAAGGGAUGGUGCCGACUUUUAACUUAGUCUAUUUCAUUCUUUAAUUAAUGUUGGUCUGUAACAUUGUAUAAACUUUAUUCUGUUGUAGUAAUAAAAUUUGGGGACUGCUAGGGGAGCAGGGACUUACGUGCUUUAUGAAUAGUAUGGAUAAGCAAAACUUAGGUUUUAUGUGUGUUACAUGCUACGUGGAUCAUUUAGGCGAACAAUCCUAAGAUUUAUUAACAUAUGAAUCGUUUAGACACUUAAUCUACGGUUUAUUAAUUGAUCCGCUUAGAAUUCUUGAUUUCAGGAUUUAACUAAAAUCGACAUACUAAAUUAUAAUUGACAUUAAGCAUAUUAAUAUAUUUUUACCAUCUCAGCAUAUUAAUA